RNAcentral lists this transfer RNA (72 nucleotides) under Camelus ferus (Wild Bactrian camel). It matches the Rfam family "tRNA". From Rfam's summary of the family: Transfer RNA (tRNA) molecules are approximately 80 nucleotides in length. The record is from Rfam by way of RNAcentral. Lineage: Eukaryota; Metazoa; Chordata; Mammalia; Artiodactyla; Camelidae.
GAGGGUAUAGCUCAGGGGUAGAGCAUGUGCUUAGCAUGCAUGAGGUCCUGGAUUCAAUCCCCAAUACUUCCA